RNAcentral lists this ribosomal RNA (450 nucleotides) under Triticum aestivum (bread wheat). RNAcentral's name for it is "partial small subunit ribosomal RNA". The record is from RNAcentral. Lineage: Eukaryota; Viridiplantae; Streptophyta; Magnoliopsida; Poales; Poaceae.
AUGGCGGCCGCGGAGGCAGGCGAGACUAAGAUGAUCAUUCUCAAGAGCUCAGAUGAGGAGGAGUUUGAGGUGGAGGAGGUUGUCGCCAUGGAGUCGCAGACCAUCCGCCACAUGAUCGAUGACGGCUGUGCCAACAACAAGAUCCUGCUCCCCAUCACCAACUCCAAGAUCCUCUUCAAGGUCAUCGAGUACUGCAAGAAGCACAUCCAGGCUAAGCCCACCACAGACACCACCACCAGAGCUUCCGAAGCAUAUGAUGUUGUGGCACCUGCCGGCCCCGUCGAGGACCUCAAGAACUGGGAUGCCGAAUUUGUCAGGGUCAACGAGUCCACCCUUUUUGACCUCGCUAUGGCUGCAAGGUAUCUCAACAUCAAGGGACUGCUAGACCUGACCACCGAGACUCUUGCCGACAUGAUAAAGGGCAAGAAUUCGGAGGAGCUUCUAGGCUGA